UACGUAGGGGGCUAGCGUUGUCCGGAAUCAUUGGGCGUAAAGCGCGUGUAGGCGGUCCGGUAAGUCCGCUGUGAAAGUCGGGGGCUCAACCCUCGGAUGCCGGUGGAUACUGUCGGGCUUGAGUACGGAAGAGGCGAGUGGAAUUCCUGGUGUAGCGGUGAAAUGCGCAGAUAUCAGGAGGAACACCAAUUGCGAAGGCAGUUCGCUGGGACGUUACUGACGCUGAGACGCGAAAGCGUGGGGAGCAAACAGG
This 253-nucleotide ribosomal RNA is filed under the name uncultured bacterium. RNAcentral describes it as "partial 16S ribosomal RNA". It matches the Rfam family "Bacterial small subunit ribosomal RNA", at positions 524 to 776 of the family's 1533-position model. The record is from RNAcentral.